CGGCCAGACUGCACUGCCUGCUGC
This 24-nucleotide non-coding RNA is filed under the name Arabidopsis thaliana (thale cress). The record is from RNAcentral. Lineage: Eukaryota; Viridiplantae; Streptophyta; Magnoliopsida; Brassicales; Brassicaceae.